AAUAUUUUAGUAAAAAUGGCGGAUUCGAAUGACCUGCAGUGCCAGAAGAAGAUCGAUCCUCACUUUGGAACUAAAGCCAUUCACGUGGGCCAAAGUCCCGACCAGUGGUCUUUUAGAGACGUCGUUCCUCCGAUUUCGUUGACCACCACCUACAAACAAUUCGGUCCAAACGAUCAUGCUGGAUUCGAGUACAGCAGAGGCGGAAAUCCGACAAGACAAGUGUUGCAGAACUGCAUUGCUUCGCUGGAUUGUGGCAAACACGGUCUGACCUUUGCGUCCGGCCUAGCCGCCACUACGGCCGUGAUCCAACUGUUGCAGGCUGGAGACCACAUUUUGUGCGGCGAUGACAUGUACGGUGGCACAAAUCGGUACUUCUCGAAGAUCGCGUCUAAAUUCAAUGUGAAAUUCACAAUGACUGACAUGACGGACGACAAGAACGUAGCGAAAUUGAUUUUGCCCGAGACCAAGUUGGUGUGGAUGGAGAGCCCUACAAACCCAUGCAUGAGAGUUGUAGACUUGGAAUCGAUUUCGACGAUUGUUCAUAACAUACGAAAAGACAUCAUCAUAGUUGUCGACAACACGUUCCAGACACCUUAUUUCCAA
RNAcentral lists this small RNA (603 nucleotides) under Acyrthosiphon pisum (pea aphid). Its description in RNAcentral is "cystathionase-like". Lineage: Eukaryota; Metazoa; Arthropoda; Insecta; Hemiptera; Aphididae. The record is from RNAcentral.